RNAcentral lists this ribosomal RNA (597 nucleotides) under Escherichia coli. RNAcentral's name for it is "bacterial SSU rRNA". It matches the Rfam family "Bacterial small subunit ribosomal RNA", at positions 1 to 587 of the family's 1533-position model. The record is from RNAcentral. RNAcentral also lists the same sequence under 1 other name. Lineage: Bacteria; Pseudomonadati; Pseudomonadota; Gammaproteobacteria; Enterobacterales; Enterobacteriaceae.
AAAUUGAAGAGUUUGAUCAUGGCUCAGAUUGAACGCUGGCGGCAGGCCUAACACAUGCAAGUCGAACGGUAACAGGAAACAGCUUGCUGUUUCGCUGACGAGUGGCGGACGGGUGAGUAAUGUCUGGGAAACUGCCCGAUGGAGGGGGAUAACUACUGGAAACGGUAGCUAAUACCGCAUAACGUCGCAAGACCAAAGAGGGGGACCUUCGGGCCUCUUGCUAUCGGAUGUGCCCAGAUGGGAUUAGCUAGUAGGUGGGGUAACGGCUCACCUAGGCGACGAUCCCUAGCUGGUCUGAGAGGAUGACCAGCCACACUGGAACUGAGACACGGUCCAGACUCCUACGGGAGGCAGCAGUGGGGAAUAUUGCACAAUGGGCGCAAGCCUGAUGCAGCCAUGCCGCGUGUAUGAAGAAGGCCUUCGGGUUGUAAAGUACUUUCAGCGGGGAGGAAGGGAGUAAAGUUAAUACCUUUACUCAUUGACGUUACCCGCAGAAGAAGCACCGGCUAACUCCGUGCCAGCAGCCGCGGUAAUACGGAGGGUGCAAGCGUUAAUCGGAAUUACUGGGCGUAAAGCGCACGCAGGCGGUUUGUUAAG